Molecule: long non-coding RNA, 983 nt
Filed under: Olea europaea subsp. europaea
Lineage: Eukaryota; Viridiplantae; Streptophyta; Magnoliopsida; Lamiales; Oleaceae
Source: RNAcentral
AUUAAUUUAGGAUUCUUGCCUAUGAAUUUGGGAAAUAUUUGAUAGAAAUAUCUAUAGGGAUUGAGAAUUAUGUCGAGAAUAUGGUGAAAUCAUUCCCUAGACAUUACGUAAAUUUGAUUUAAUCUUUAAAAAUUGCCUCACUUUUAUUGCAUUAUUUAAUUCAUUGACGUUAAUUUAGUAUUCAACAUUAAUUUAACACUCGAUUGUCUAGAUAAAGUAAACGCGGACACAAUUAUAGUACUCAGUGGAAGUCGAAUAUCAAUCCCUGUGGGUUCGACACUUUUCAAUUCUUUAAUAUACUACAAAACUUGACACCGUGCGCUUGCGGUAUAAAAUCACGUUAUAUAAAACGCGUGGCAAGUUUUUGGUGCCGUUGUCGGGGAUUGAUUCAUUCGAAUUCAAUUGAUAUUAUUACCAAUCGGCGUUCAUUUUACUCUAGAUUUUUAUUUUUUUUUUACCGUUAUUUUUAUUUCACUCCUUUUGUGUCUAUCUUUAAAAGUUUCCCUUUGAUUAUUUUCAGCUGUUUAUGCGAAGGGCGAGAAAUCUAGAUCUACUACCUGUUGAUCCUAAACCAGAACGCACAUUUCGCAUUCUCAGAGGCAUACAAAGAAACGAACGGGAAGCAAUGGCAGAACAGGAUGUUAGAGUAGCCAAUGAGGAUAACCAACAAAGGGCUAUUCGGGACUACAUAAGGCCGGUUGUCAAUGACAACUAUUCCGGCAUCGCACGCCCAGCAAUUGCUGCAAACAAUUUCGAAUUGAAGCCAGGGUUGAUACACAUGGUACAACAAAAUCAGUUUGGGGGUGCUGCAAUAGAAGACCCAAAUGCUCAUCUUGGAUCUUUUUUGGAAAUUUGUGACACGGUGAAGAUGAAUGGGGUUACUGAAGAUGCAAUUAGACUCCGCCUAUUCUCAUUCUCUUUAAGGGAUAAAGCAAAGGCUUGGUUCCAAUCACUACCAUAUGGCUCAAUUACANGGUAUUGAG